AUGUGCUUUUCUUUCUCCUUUUGCUCUUUUUUUUUUUCUUCUUUUGUUCCUUGCCCUGACUUGUUAGUGGGUUUGUUGAAGCAGUUACUGGUGCAGCAGCUGGGUUUGACUGAGAAGAGCAGUCAGGAAGACUGGCGGCAGUUCUCCAGAUACAGGACAGCCCCUCAAGAGGCUCAGGCCGACAGUGGGAUCCAGAACUCUGAAAAUACUAAGGUCUGUCAUUCUGCCGAAGGACAGGUCCCCUUUAGAACUGGAGCUGGUGACAGUGCAGGUUGUAACAGUUCACGAACUUCAACUGAAUCUUCUGCUCCACCGGAUUCAGUGGUACUGGCAUCCCAAGAUAGCCAGACAAGUAACAUUUUAGUAAUGGACCACAUGAUUCUGACCCCAGAGGUAUCUACCACAGAACCAGAAGGGGGUCUGGAUGAGAGUGGAGAGCACUUUUUUGAUGCCUGUGAAGCACAUAGCGAUGAUAAUCCAUCAGAAGGUGAUGGAGCAAUUAAAAAGGAAGAGAAGGAUGUUAAUUUACACAUCUCAGGAAAUUGCUUGAUCCUUGAUGGCUAUGACACAGUGCAGGAGAGCUCCACGGAUGAGGAAGCUGCUUCCUCAUUUCUCCUGCAGCCUGUGGCAGGCCUCCCCUCCAUGGACUCUGCCUACCAGGAACAGUAUUCUCCUCAGAGCGCUCAUUCUGAUGGGGCAGGGUCACCAUUCAUCCCAGAAUUCCUGCUCCAGCGACGCUGGGGAGCUAUGGAAGAUUCCUGUUUUGAGAUCCAGACUCCCUCCUCUUGUGCAGAUUCUCAAAGCCAGAUCAUGGAGUACAUUCAUAAGAUAGAGGCUGACCUUGAGCACUUAAAGAAGGUGGAGGAAAGCUACACCCUUCUGUGCCAAAGGUUGGCUGGAUCAGCCCUCACAGACAAGCACUCAGAUAAAAGUUAGAGCCGAGUGUCCUGGAGGUGACUGCAGGUUGUUGGAUUUUGAGCAUCGGCCUUGUAUCAACCACAUCCUGGCUGCAGUGUGGACGCAGAGAUAGUGUGCUAGAGGACCUGCCUAAGAACCACCAGGGAUUAACCGUGUCCCAAG
RNAcentral lists this long non-coding RNA (1080 nucleotides) under Cavia porcellus (domestic guinea pig). RNAcentral's name for it is "lncRNA (ENSCPOG00000034044.1)". The record is from RNAcentral. Lineage: Eukaryota; Metazoa; Chordata; Mammalia; Rodentia; Caviidae.